This is a long non-coding RNA of Rattus norvegicus (Norway rat), 2488 nucleotides long. RefSeq lists it as uncharacterized. NCBI's taxonomy places the organism in Eukaryota, Metazoa, Chordata, Mammalia, Rodentia, Muridae. The record is from RefSeq and is a predicted model, not a curated record.
GGUAGCUACAUAUCACCAAGUUUCCGUGGGAAUCACUCCUGCCUCUCUCUCUGAUCCAAACAGGGUCCGAGGAAGCAAGUCCAAGUGACUCAGGGCUGAACAACCUCAAGCUCUCUCCUCUUCUGAUAACCAAGGCUUCGGUGUUUGAACAUGUGAUGUCUGACUUUUACCCAAGUUCAGCUCUUUGCUAGAAGGAUCUUCUUAGCACCGUAAUGGAGAUCGAUUUGUUCAGCAGAUACCUGAACUGCAUGUGUAGAUUUUCUCAGCGUCAUGCAGAGAGCCCAUGCACGUAUGUGAAGCCAGGUGGACCACUGCCAUGGAGAAGUUCCAUCCAUGGUUUCACGAAUAUCCCUGAAGACUUGCCAGUGUGCUUGCUGACGAUGAAGUUCAUGGCGAUAUCGUCACAGUUUUGGGUCUCGUCGAUCAGCGUGUGGACGGCUGCAGGCUGUUUCUGGAAGAGGUCCAGGUAUUUGCUGUGGAAGAAGGAGGCUCCGAUGAGCACCAUGGAGUACUGGUCGCCGUUUCCAAGCCCAGGAGUCUGCAGCUCAAAGCCUCCGUAACUGUAGAUACCGGAGGAAGUAGAUACGUGUUUUCUAGGUACAAAUCCUACGAUCUGAUCCGGAAAUUGCUGAAAAGAGAAAGAAAGGAGCAGACAUAGACAGAGAUGCUUAUGUAUUACAGAUGGUGUAGCUGGUUCGUCAACUUUCCCUUAUUCUUUAUUUCUGCAUUUUCCUUAUUUUUUCACUUUAACUUUCCCAACUCUAGACAGUGUUUGUCUCAGGCUAAGCUUACAGCUUAAAUUCCAUCACAACCAAAAACUCUCUGAAAAAUUCUUACCUUACAAAUAUUCUCCCACUUCUAGCAUCUGAUUCAAACAAAUUUUAAUCCCCAGGGAGUCUAGUCCUUCAAAGUUUUCUCUAAGAAAAGUUGAUCAUGCUGGUGUGUGUGGCAUGUACCCUUAAUCUCAGCACUAGGGAGGCAGAGUCAGGAGGACCAGAGGGUCUAUAGAAUGAGUUCCAGGACAGGCAGGACUACAUAGAAGAAACCCCCUCUCAAAAAACCAAGCCAACCAACCAAAUGAACCCCAGACCCCCAAAACCAGCAACAAUAACACAAAACGAAAGCAAAAAAAAAAAAAGAAAGAAAGAAAGAAAGAAAGAAAGAAAGAAAGAAAGAAAGAAAACUUGCUGUCAAGAAUAUUAUUAUAGGAGAUAGGAGGUAAGUGAUCCUGGUUUUCUUUUUUGAGACAAGGUUUCUCUGUGUAGCUCUGGCUGUCUUUGAAAUCUUUCUAUAGACCAGGUUAUCCUGGAACUCACAGAGAUCCACCUGCCUCUGCUUCCUGAGUGCUGGGAUCAAGGGCUUGUGCUACCACCACCCAACUGUAGAAUUUUUUUUACUGCUUUUCAACGUUGAUUUUAAUGUUCUUAAAAGUCAAUAUUGAUUUUAAACAAUAUUUUAUCCCUCUCAGAUUUUUUUGAUAGUUCUUUUAAAUGAUAUGUAUUCAAAUGCUAAAUACUGGCUCCCAAGAUCUGGUUGUAUAUCAGCCUUUGUUGUGUAAACCUUGCUUCUAAAUCUAAAGCUACUGGUUAAAUUAAAGUGGCUACAGCCAAUUACCGCAGAGAAUAGAGGUAGGUGGAGUUUCAGUUACCUGGCUGGGAGACACAGGUAUGGACCACAAGGAGGGGGAGGAGGGAGGGAGGAAUGAAGGGAGAAGGUGGAGGGAAAAGGAAGAGGAGGAAGAGGAAGGAGGGAGGAGGAGGAGCAGAAGUAGGAGGAAGAAGCAGGUGAAGGAGACAAAGAUGGAGAGAGGGGGAAGGCUACAUUCAUUAGGCCAUGUGGAUCCUGAGCACAUGGUCAGGAAAAGUGGGUCCUGAGGACAGGCUGAAGGAGCAGAAAUAGGGCAAGACUCAAAUAGCAAGCACUUGGGGAGCACAGCUGGGGAACUGAGCAGUCUAGCAUAUAGAAAAAUAGAUUAGUAAUUUGCCUAGUUAUUGAGCUAAAGCUGAUUUUAAAAAAAAUCCAUGGGACUCUGCUUCAAUUAUUGGGGGGCUUUCCUGGUCAUGUUAAUAACUAGUAGCUUAUUAAAAUCCAUUUAUAAGUUCCUUUUCAAAAAUAUGAAUUUAUAUAAGUAAAUAUGACAUAAAUCACAUAUGCAUAUACAUUCAGAUAAGGGAUAUGAAUAGAUAGUAGCAAAAAUAAGUCUAUUAAGGAGGGACUUAGCAAAGGUAAAACAAACAAAAGAAAACACUGAAUUUACAGGAUUGAAAAUUUGCAAGUUUAAUUCAUUCUUGUGAACUAUGUGAACUUCACCCAGUUUGAGUUUCAUCUGCCAAGGAGAGGGGUGUUACGUUCUUUGCAUUGUACCGGAUCCUAUCUUUAUAUUUAGGGAAGGGUGAUUUAAAAACAAACAAACAAACAAACAAGCAAACAAACAAACAAAAAACCCCAAAACCUUAAGUGGAAUUCUCAUAAAUGAAGCAUUACAUUA